RNAcentral lists this ribosomal RNA (470 nucleotides) under uncultured bacterium. RNAcentral's name for it is "partial 16S ribosomal RNA". It matches the Rfam family "Bacterial small subunit ribosomal RNA", at positions 28 to 507 of the family's 1533-position model. The record is from RNAcentral.
GACGAACGCUGGCGGCGUGCUUAACACAUGCAAGUCGAACGGUGAACGAGGGAGCUUGCUCCCUCCGGAUCAGUGGCGCACGGGUGAGUAACACGUGAGCAAUCUGCCCCGAACUCUGGGAUAAGCGUUGGAAACGACGUCUAAUACCGGAUACGACGCGGGAGGGCAUCCUCUCCGCGUGGAAAGAACUUCGGUUCGGGAUGAGCUCGCGGCCUAUCAGCUUGUUGGUGAGGUAACGGCUCACCAAGGCGACGACGGGUAGCCGGCCUGAGAGGGUGACCGGCCACACUGGGACUGAGACACGGCCCAGACUCCUACGGGAGGCAGCAGUGGGGAAUAUUGCACAAUGGGCGCAAGCCUGAUGCAGCAACGCCGCGUGAGGGACGACGGCCUUCGGGUUGUAAACCUCUUUUAGCAGGGAAGAAGCGAAAGUGACGGUACCUGCAGAAAAAGCACCGGCUAACUACGUG